This 10604-nucleotide long non-coding RNA is filed under the name Solanum tuberosum (potato). RNAcentral describes it as "long non-coding RNA (STUB_LNC008760)". The record is from RNAcentral. Lineage: Eukaryota; Viridiplantae; Streptophyta; Magnoliopsida; Solanales; Solanaceae.
UUUAAAUAUAUAAUUCAUUUUAUAAGAUAUAAAGAAUCUACGCUCAACUUUACACUAAAAAAUUAAUAAUUUAACUCUCGUAAUUUGAAUCUUGCCACGUGCAGAAGACAAUAAUUAUUUUACUUAUACAAUCAUUAUGCCAUGUAUUUUAAUCUUAUUUAAGAAAAGAUUUUUAAAAAAAAUAGGAAAAACUUUAUGUAUUUCCAUACUUAAUUAUCAACUUAAUCCCACUAUACCAUGAACAUAUGGUAUGUGGAAUAAUAUAUACUAGCAACAUCAAAGGGAAAUAAUAAUAAUAAUUAUAGACGUACAUUUAAUCCCUUACACAUUGGUUGGUACCAUAGUUGUAGUUUGGCUUCUCCCCCACCCACAAUUGCACAGCUGCCCUCCCCGUGAAAUCACCAGUUCCCUUGGCAAGGUUCUCCCCUGCACCGGAAUGAAUCAAGUUACAAUCACCAGUUCUUGAAUUAAAGUAAACUAGUAUAUAUACUCGCGGAUAAUAUUAAAAUAUUAUUUUUAAGUGUAUUAGAAUGUGUGACUUGCAAGUUUGAGUCAGUCAAAAUUACAGUGUUUUUUUGUGUGAUUAAUUAACUUAGUUAGAAAAUCAAAUAUAAUUAUUUCACUCGUACUUCAACUUAUAAUAACUAAACGAAGUCAAUCGGAACUCAUCAUAGCUUUCUGAGGGAUCGACUCAAGACUCAUAAUCAAGAUUAUAUUGAUUAUGCUCACUUAGUUUUUGAAUAUGUAAAUUUCAUAAUUUAAAAAAGGAAAUAAAGAAUCUAUGUCGUGUUAGUGUUUUGCCCUAAUUAAAAAAAAAUAAAGGUCCUUUAAAUUUUUCAAAAGUGAACACCUUUGGUUUUGAGAAGAUAUUUAUCAAACUUUGAUUGUUAAAUUUAAUCGAAUUUGUAUAAAAUGUUAAAUUUUAAACACUGUGGAAUUUUAUUUCACAUGUGAAGAAAAUUCAAAGGAGAUUAAUGUUGCAUUGCAUGUCGUGUUAUUCAGGAAAUACUCUAUGCUUUAAAGAAUAGUCAUACUUUAAUCUAGGACAUUUCUUCACCCCAUAUUAUUCAGAUAAGAUUAAACAAGACUUAGUAAGUGUUUUUGGGUGGAAUAUUCACAAUAGGUAAAAUAUGCGCUCUCAAUAAUUACAUGCAAGUCUACGGAGCAUAGAAAGACAAGAUGCUUAUAUCGUACUUGCUAAAUGAAUCUAAUUCUAAUACAAUUUUAUAUCUCAAUUAAAUUGGACUCGCACAUGUUCUACAGUCUCGUGAAUCAUGUUGAAGCAACUAAAGCAAGGACUUUAGGCUCCAAAAUUUUAGGGUUCCGAUUUUUAUUUUUUAUUUUCUCAUACAAUGUCUAGAAUCUAUGUUGAAGUCACGAUUAAUUCAAUUUCGUGUCACAUAAGGUUCUUUAAAGGAAGAAGCUCUCUAGCAAUAUUUGUUUUCCUUUUGAGAUUUGGACUCAAUAUCUCUGAUCAAGAGAGGAAGCGAUUCAGUUUUAUUUAGCUAUAAAAUAUUUUAUGAAAAUUUGAUUUUAAACCAUCGAUCUUAUUGAGCCACCCUGCGUGAAUGUAUUGGAAGAAAAUUAUUCUAUGAGAGAGAGAAGACUAAGUAUUUAUUAGUCAUUGAAAGCAAUUUGGAUAUAAUGAAAACAAAAAAAUAAAGAAAGUGAUGGACACUUAAACCAGAACAAAUUUUUGGUCCUUUGUGUGGAAAUUAACUGCUUCACAUCCUUGCAGCUUCGAAUGAGAUUUUUUUUAAAAAAAUUUGAAAGUGUUGAAGCUGAAUUUAUGAAUAAAUAGUUAUAUGUUUAGAUAAGUUUUAAAUGGAGCAUAAAUAGUUUGAUUUGCUUAAUUAUAUAUGCACACAUUAAGUAAUUUCUAUCGUAUAUAUUUUGUAUAUUUCUUUUAUAUAUAAAAUAUAAUUUUUUGGUGAAAAGUGUUCAACGAUAGUCGCUAUAGUGUGUGGAAUUCAUGUUCCAUCACAUAAUUGGAGAGUUUUUUCUUGACUUUCUUUUUAUUAUUACUAUUAUUUAUGGAUUUUUAUAUAGUUUAAUUCACUGAUUUUGAUUCGGAGAAUGACAAUAUACUAGAGUUUUAAUUUACCCUUUGUUUGGUUAUAAUAUAUUAUAUUUAUUUGACUGCGUUUGCAUUAUAGUAUAAAUUGUUUGGAAUUACUUGUUUGUUUUGGGAAAGACUUGCAAGUUUGAGUCGGUCAAAAUUACACUGUGAUUAAUCAACUUAAUUAGAAAAUCAAAUAUAAUUUUAUACUUCACUCGUAUUCCACUUAAACUAACUAAAUUAAGUUAAACGGAACUCACCAUAGCUUUUCUGUGGUAUUGAGUUGUAUAUAAAUAUACUCUGAUGGUAUCAAAGAUAACUGAACAGUGUCUUCAUUGAAAGACUGCUUCUUCCUCCUUGAUAUUAUCAAAGUAUAAUAUACUUUGGUGGUAUUAAUGAGUAACCGAAUAGUGUUUUCAUUAAGGUUUGUUUCAGUCCUUCGAUGAGAAUACUCAAUCAUCCAUGAUACCAUUACGGUAUAUCUACAUACUGUCGUGGUAUCAUUUAGGUAUGCUUGAAUUCUUCAAUAUUUUAAUUUUAAAAAAUAUAAAAAUAUAUUUCCUACUAAUUUAGAGUUUAAUAAAUAAGAUUGUGAAUUUAAUAAUUUCUCUUAAUUAUUUCUUAAAAAAAGAGUUAAAUCCUAUAUCUCAUACUGAUAUCAUACGCGAUAUAAAAAAGGAGAAAGUGGGGUAAGCAUGUAAAUAUUUUGAGGCAUGGGUCCAUUUAGGGUAAAUAGUUUGGAUAAAGUCCAAUUUAGAUAAAUAGUUUCAUAAUUGGGUCUAUCUUACAUAGUUUUUUCUAUUAAUUACGCUACUUAAUUUUUAAAUAUAUAAAUUUCAUAAUUUUAAAUAAGUAAAGAACCUAUGCCCAACUUCACACUCGUACUUGGAAUUUUUCAAUAUUAAUUUGCUCAUACAAUUAUUCUACUAAUUUAUAUAGAACCAAUCCUUUUCUGAGAUUAAGUAGCACAAAUAUCGUAUUUUAAUCUUAGUUAAUGAAAGACAAAUUUUAAAAAGGUCAAAUAGGAAUAACAACUUUAUGUAUUCAUGUUUAGUGGAAACGAGAAGAUGCAAUACUUAGUUAUCAACGUAAGCCACUAUACCAUGAACAUAUGGUACGUGGAAUUAUUCAUACUAGCAACAUCAAAGGGUAAUAAUAAUAAUAAUUAUAGAGGUACAUUUAAUCCCUUACACAUCAUAAGUAAACACAUUUUAGUAAGGACGUUGUCCGACCCAGUUUCCAACAGGAUCAUAGUUGCAUGAAAUGAACCACCAUCCGUUGUUGCAACGAGCCCGACCACAACCUAGUCGAACUGAGUUGCGCCAGACUACUUGAGUAUAGUGUCCGCACACUUGUCCGCUUGCACAUUGGUUGGUACCAUAGUUGUAGUUUGGCUUCUCCCCCACCCACAAUUGCACAGCUGCCCUCCCCGUGAAAUCACCAGUUCCCUUGGCAAGGUUCUCCCCUGCACCGGAAUGAAUCAAGUUACAAUCACCAGUUCUUGAAUUGGCAUAAUUUUGUGCUCGGGAUGCCAAACCGGCAUCCCAAGACAUUGGCCCGACCCCGACUUGGGCACGGGCAUCGUUGUGAACCGCAAGAUAGUCUUGGGGUGAAUUUUGGGCAUCACAAGAGUGAAAUAUGGCUAAUACCAUGAGACAAGUGAGUAACAAUGAGAUGUUAAACAACCCCAUUUUGCUUUAGGUCUAGUGGAAAGAAAAUAAAUCUAAGUUAUUGUGAUUAUAAAUGUGAGAUAAGUAGUGUAUUUAUAAGUAAAAUUAAUUGUGGAAUUUUGUUUAGCAUGUGUGAAGAAAAUUCAAAGGAAAUUAGUAGAGGAAAUGAUAAAAAUGGUCUCUUAUCUUUGAUAGUAAGUUCAAAAUAGUCUCGUGUGUAUUUAGUUGAGCCAUUUUGGUCCUUCAAUUGUUUAGAAGUAAUUACUUUCGGUCCUGAUGGUAUCAAAGAUAAGUGAACAGUGUCUUCAUUGAAGGACUGCUUCUUCCUCCUUGAUAUUAUCAAAGGAUAAUAUACUUUGGUGGUAUUAAUGAGUAACUGAAUAGUGUUUUCAUUAAGAUUUGUUUCAGUCCUUCGAUGAGAAUACUCAAUCAUCCAUGAUAUCAUUACGGUAUUUCUACAUACUGUCGUGAUAUCAUUGAGGUAUGUUUGAAUUCUUCAAUAUUUUAAUUUUAAAAAAUAUAUUUCCUACUAAUUUAGAGUUUAAUAAAUAAGAUUGUGAAUUUAAUAAUUUUCUCAUAACUAUUUCUUAAAAAAAGAGUUAAAUCCUAUAUCUCAUACUAUAUCAUGUGCAAUAUAAAAAAGGAGAAAGUGGGGUAAGCAGGUAAAUAUUUUGAGGUAUAGGUCCAUUUAGGGUAAAUAGUUUGGAUAGAGUCCAAUUUAGAUAAAUAGUUUCAUAAUUGGGUCUAUCUUACAUAGUUUUUUCUAUUAAUUACGCUACUUAAUUUUUAAAUAUAUAAAUUUCAUAAUUUUAAAUAAGUAAAGAACCUAUGCCCAACUUCACACUAAGAAUUUAGUACUUUGACCCUCGUACUUGGAAUUUUUCAAUAUUAAUUUGCUCAUACAAUUAUUCAACUAAUUUAUAUAGAACCAAUCCUUUUCUGAGUUUAAGUAGCACAAAUAUCGUAUUUUAAUCUUAGUUAAUGAAAGACAAAUUUUAAAAAGGUCAAAUAGGAAUAACAACUUUAUGUAUUCAUGUUUAGUGGAAACAAGAAGAUGCAAUACUUAGUUAUCAACGUAAGCCACUAUACCAUGAACAUAUGGUACGUGGAAUUAUUCAUACUAGCAACAUCAAAGGGUAAUAAUAAUAAUAAUUAUAGAGGUACAUUUAAUCCCUUACACAUCAUAAGUAAACACAUUUUAGUAAGGACGUUGUCCGACCCAGUUUCCAACAGGAUCAUAGUUGCAUGAAAUGAACCACCAUCCGUUGUUGCAACGAGCCCGACCACAACCUAGUCGAACUGAGUUGCGCCAGACUACUUGAGUAUAGUGUCCGCACACUUGUCCGCUUGCACAUUGGUUGGUACCAUAGUUGUAGUUUGGCUUCUCCCCCACCCACAAUUGCACAGCUGCCCUCCCCGUGAAAUCACCAGUUCCCUUGGCAAGGUUCUCCCCUGCACCGGAAUGAAUCAAGUUACAAUCACCAGUUCUUGAAUUGGCAUAAUUUUGUGCUCGGGAUGCCAAACCGGCAUCCCAAGACAUUGGCCCGACCCCGACUUGGGCACGGGCAUCGUUGUGAACCGCAAGAUAGUCUUGGGGUGAAUUUUGGGCAUCACAAGAGUGAAAUAUGGCUAAUACCAUGAGACAAGUGAGUAACAAUGAGAUGUUAAACAACCCCAUUUUGCUUUAGGUCUAGUGGAAAGAAAAUAAAUCUAAGUUAUUGUGAUUAUAAAUGUGAGAUAAGUAGUGUAUUUAUAAGUAAAAUUAAUUGUGGAUUUUGGUUUAGCAUGUGUGAAGAAAAUUCAAAGGAAAUUAGUAGAGGAAAUGAUAAAAAUGGUCUCUUAUCUUUGAUAGUAAGUUCAAAAUAGUCUCGUGUGUAUUUAGUUGAGCCAUUUUGGUCCUUCAAUUGUUUAGAAGUAAUUACUUUCGGUCCUUUAAGUUUUUCAAAAAUGAGCAUUUUUUUUUAUCUUGAUUAGAUUUUUAUCAAACUUUGAUUGUUAAAUUUAAACAUUGUGGAAUUUUAUUUUUCAUAUUAAGAAAAUUCAAAUGUGAUUAGUACCUUGCAUGUCGUGUGAUUCAUAGAAUACUAUAUUCUUUAAAGAAUAGUCAUACUUUAAUCUAGGUAAUUCUUGUUUUUUUUUCAAAAUUAUAUUAUCAAAAUAAGGUUAAACAAGAUUAAUUAAGCAUUUUUGGGUGGAAUAAAAAGUCUAUAGAACAUAAGAAGACUUGAAUUACUAAAAAGAUAUAUAUUUUUUCUAUUAGAUGGGGCUCACACAUGUUCUACAAUCUCGUGAAGCAUAAAGAUGUAUAUUUUUUUUCCAUUAGAUGGGGCUCACACAUGUUCUACAGCCUCGUGAAGCAUGGACGUGACCAAAUGGUGAAGCAGCUAAAAUAAGGGCUUUAGGCUCCAAAAUUAUAGGGGUUUGAAUAAAAACUUUUUUUCUUAUACAAUGUCUUGGGUGUGUGCUGGAGUCCUCAUUAAUUUGAUUUAUGUCACAUAAGUACCUUUAAAGGGAAGUUCUAUCUAGCAGUCUUUAUUUUCAUUUUAGGAUUCGAACAUGGAACAUCCGAUCAAGAGAGGAUGCGAUUCAGUGUUUACUUGUAAAAUAUUUCAUGGAAAAAUGAUUUUAGGCCAUCGAUAUUAUUGAGCCGCCCUAAAUCUAUUGGGAGAAAAUUAUUGUACGAGAGAGAAGAGUGAGAAUUUGUUAGUCAUUGAAAGCAAUUUGAAUAUAAUGAAAACAAAAAAUAAACAAAGUGAUGGACACAUAAACCAGGACAAAUAUUUGGUCCUUUCUGUAGAAAUUAACUGCCUCACAUCCUGGCAGCUUCGAAUGAGAAUUAUUAAUUUUUAAAACGUUUUUAAGGGUUGAAGUUGAAUUUACGAAUAAAUAGUUACAUGUUUAAAUAAGUAUUAAAUAGAGAAUAAAUAAUUUGAUAUGCUUAAUAAAUAUAUGUGCACCUAAAGUAGUUCCUGACGAAUGUACUUCAUAUAAUAUUUUACAUAUAAAGUAUAAUUUUUCGAUAAAAGUUUUCAAUAGGUCACCGCCAGGGGAGGAGCCAGCAUGUCUUUAGGGGUUCAUCCGAAUCCCUUUUGGUGGAAAAUAUUACUAUAUAUACAUGGUUAAAAUUAUUUUUUAGAUGUAUAUAAUAGAUGUCGAACCCCCCUUCGACUAGUUCAUAUGUUUACUCCUUCGGAUUUUGAACCCCUUAUUAAAAAUCAUGGCUCUGCCACUAGUCACCGCUGCGUGGAAUUCCUGUUCCAUCACGUAAUUGGAGAGUUUUUUCUUGACUUCUAUUUUUAUUAUUAUGGAAUUAUCUACAGUUUAAUUCACUGAUUUUGAUUUGGAGAAUGACAAUAUGCUAAUUUUAUGUAUUAAACCUUAGUGUGAAGAUAAAAUAUUAUAUUUAUUUGACAACGUUACGUUUGUAUUAAAGUAAACUAGUAUAUAUAUAUAUUCGCGGAUAAUAUUAAAAAUAUUAUUUUUAAGUGUAUUAGAAUGUGUGACUUGCAAGUUUGAGUCAGUCAAAAUUACAGUUAUUUUUUGUGUGAUUAAUUAACUUAGUUAGAAAAUCAAAUAUAAUUAUUUCACUCGUACUUCAACUUAUAAUAACUAAACGAAGUCAAUCGGAACUCAUCAUAGCUUUCUGAGGGAUCGACUCAAGACUCAUAAUCAAGAUUAUAUUGAUUAUGCUCACUUAGUUUUUGAAUAUGUAAAUUUCAUAAUUUAAAAAAGGAAAUAAAGAAUCUAUGUCGUGUUAGUGUUUUGCCCUGAUUUUAAAAAAUAAAGGUCCUUUAAAUUUUUCAAAAGUGAACACUUUUGGUUUUGAGAAGAUAUUUAUCAAACUUUGAUUGUUAAAUUUAAUCGAAUUUGUAUAAAAUGUUAAAUUUAAACACUGUGGAAUUUUAUUUCACAUGUGAAGAAAAUUCAAAGGAGAUUAAUGUUACAUUGCAUGUCGUGUUAUUCAGGAAAUACUCUAUGCUUUAAAGAAUAGUCAUACUUUAAUCUAGGACAUUUCUUCACCCCAUAUUAUUCAGAUAAGAUUAAACAAGACUUAGUAAGUGUUUUUGGGUGGAAUAUUCACAAUAGGUAAAAUAUGCGCUCUCAAUAAUUACAUGCAAGUCUACGGAGCAUAGAAAGACAAGAUGCUUAUAUCGUAUAUUUGCUAAAUGAAUCUAAUUCUAAUACAACUUUAUAUCUCAAUUAAAUUGGACUCGCACAUGUUCUACAGUCUCGUGAAUCAUGUUGAAGCAACUAAAGCAAGGACUUUAGGCUCCAAAAUUUUAGGGUUCCGAUUUUUAUUUUUUAUUUUCUCAUACAAUGUCUAGAAUCUAUGUUGAAGUCACGAUUAAUUCAAUUUCGUGUCACAUAAGGUUCUUUAAAGGAAGAAGCUCUCUAGCAAUAUUUGUUUUCCUUUUGAGAUUUGGACUCAAUAUCUCUGAUCAAGAGAGGAAGCGAUUCAGUUUUAUUUAGCUAUAAAAUAUUUUAUGAAAAUUUGAUUUUAAACCAUCGAUCUUAUUGAGCCACCCUUGCGUGAAUGUAUUGGAAGAAAAUUAUUCUAUGAGAGAGAGAAGACUAAGUAUUUAUUAGUCAUUGAAAGCAAUUUGGAUAUAAUGAAAACAAAAAAAUAAAGAAAGUGAUGGACACUUAAACCAGAACAAAUUUUUGGUCCUUUGUGUGGAAAUUAACUGCUUCACAUCCUUGCAGCUUCGAAUGAGAUUUUUUUUAAAAAAAUUUGAAAGUGUUGAAGCUGAAUUUAUGAAUAAAUAGUUAUAUGUUUAGAUAAGUUUUAAAUGGAGCAUAAAUAGUUUGAUUUGCUUAAUUAUAUAUGCACACAUUAAGUAAUUUCUAUCGUAUAUAUUUUGUAUAUUUCUUUUAUAUAUAAAAUAUAAUUUUUUGGUGAAAAGUGUUCAACGAUAGUCGCUAUAGUGUGUGGAAUUCAUGUUCCAUCACAUAAUUGGAGAGUUUUUUCUUGACUUUCUUUUUAUUAUUACUAUUAUUUAUGGAUUUUUAUAUAGUUUAAUUCACUGAUUUUGAUUCGGAGAAUGACAAUAUACUAGAGUUUUAAUUUACCCUUUGUUUGGUUAUAAUAUAUUAUAUUUAUUUGACUGCGUUUGCAUUAUAGUAUAAAUUGUUUGGAAUUACUUGUUUGUUUUGGGAAAGACUUGCAAGUUUGAGUCGGUCAAAAUUACACUGUGAUUAAUCAACUUAAUUAGAAAAUCAAAUAUAAUUUUAUACUUCACUCGUAUUCCACUUAAACUAACUAAAUUAAGUUAAACGGAACUCACCAUAGCUUUUCUGUGGUAUUGAGUUGUAUAUAAAUACUAGUAACGAAAGCCCGGGCGCUGCCCGGGCCCUGUGGUAUUGAGUUGUAUAUAAAUAUACUCUGAUGGUAUCAAAGAUAACUGAACAGUGUCUUCAUUGAAAGACUGCUUCUUCCUCCUUGAUAUUAUCAAAGUAUAAUAUACUUUGGUGGUAUUAAUGAGUAACCGAAUAGUGUUUUCAUUAAGGUUUGUUUCAGUCCUUCGAUGAGAAUACUCAAUCAUCCAUGAUACCAUUACGGUAUAUCUACAUACUGUCGUGGUAUCAUUUAGGUAUGCUUGAAUUCUUCAAUAUUUUAAUUUUAAAAAAUAUAAAAAUAUAUUUCCUACUAAUUUAGAGUUUAAUAAAUAAGAUUGUGAAUUUAAUAAUUUCUCUUAAUUAUUUCUUAAAAAAAGAGUUAAAUCCUAUAUCUCAUACUGAUAUCAUACGCGAUAUAAAAAAGGAGAAAGUGGGGUAAGCAUGUAAAUAUUUUGAGGCAUGGGUCCAUUUAGGGUAAAUAGUUUGGAUAAAGUCCAAUUUAGAUAAAUAGUUUCAUAAUUGGGUCUAUCUUACAUAGUUUUUUCUAUUAAUUACGCUACUUAAUUUUUAAAUAUAUAAAUUUCAUAAUUUUAAAUAAGUAAAGAACCUAUGCCCAACUUCACACUCGUACUUGGAAUUUUUCAAUAUUAAUUUGCUCAUACAAUUAUUCUACUAAUUUAUAUAGAACCAAUCCUUUUCUGAGAUUAAGUAGCACAAAUAUCGUAUUUUAAUCUUAGUUAAUGAAAGACAAAUUUUAAAAAGGUCAAAUAGGAAUAACAACUUUAUGUAUUCAUGUUUAGUGGAAACGAGAAGAUGCAAUACUUAGUUAUCAACGUAAGCCACUAUACCAUGAACAUAUGGUACGUGGAAUUAUUCAUACUAGCAACAUCAAAGGGUAAUAAUAAUAAUAAUUAUAGAGGUACAUUUAAUCCCUUACACAUCAUAAGUAAACACAUUUUAGUAAGGACGUUGUCCGACCCAGUUUCCAACAGGAUCAUAGUUGCAUGAAAUGAACCACCAUCCGUUGUUGCAACGAGCCCGACCACAACCUAGUCGAACUGAGUUGCGCCAGACUACUUGAGUAUAGUGUCCGCACACUUGUCCGCUUGCACAUUGGUUGGUACCAUAGUUGUAGUUUGGCUUCUCCCCCACCCACAAUUGCACAGCUGCCCUCCCCGUGAAAUCACCAGUUCCCUUGGCAAGGUUCUCCCCUGCACCGGAAUGAAUCAAGUUACAAUCACCAGUUCUUGAAUUGGCAUAAUUUUGUGCUCGGGAUGCCAAACCGGCAUCCCAAGACAUUGGCCCGACCCCGACUUGGGCACGGGCAUCGUUGUGAACCGCAAGAUAGUCUUGGGGUGAAUUUUGGGCAUCACAAGAGUGAAAUAUGGCUAAUACCAUGAGACAAGUGAGUAACAAUGAGAUGUUAAACAACCCCAUUUUGCUUUAGGUCUAGUGGAAAGAAAAUAAAUCUAAGUUAUUGUGAUUAUAAAUGUGAGAUAAGUAGUGUAUUUAUAAGUAAAAUUAAUUGUGGAAUUUUG